This 175-nucleotide ribosomal RNA is filed under the name uncultured Vibrio sp. RNAcentral's name for it is "partial 16S ribosomal RNA". It matches the Rfam family "Bacterial small subunit ribosomal RNA", at positions 355 to 524 of the family's 1533-position model. The record is from RNAcentral. Lineage: Bacteria; Pseudomonadati; Pseudomonadota; Gammaproteobacteria; Vibrionales; Vibrionaceae.
UGGGGAAUAUUGCACAAUGGGCGCAGCCUGAUGCAGCCAUGCCGCGUGUAUGAAGAAGGCCUUCGGGUUGUAAGUACUUUCAGUAGGGAGGAAGGUGGUUAAGUUAAUACCUUAAUCAUUUGACGUUACCUACAGAAGAAGCACCGGCUAACUCCGUGCCAGCAGCCGCGGUAAU